This 242-nucleotide ribosomal RNA is filed under the name uncultured bacterium. Its description in RNAcentral is "partial 16S ribosomal RNA". It matches the Rfam family "Bacterial small subunit ribosomal RNA", at positions 94 to 339 of the family's 1533-position model. The record is from RNAcentral.
AGCGGCGGACGGGUGAGUAACGCGUAGGAACCUACCUAAUAGAGGGGGAUAGCCCAGAGAAAUUUGGAUUAAUACCGCAUAAUGUCUACGGACCAAAGCAGGGGAUCUUCGGACCUUGCACUAUUAGAUGGGCCUGCGUCGGAUUAGCUAGUUGGUAGGGUAAUGGCCUACCAAGGCGACGAUCCGUAGCUGGUUUGAGAGGAUGAUCAGCCACACUGGAACUGAGACACGGUCCAGACUCC